CAUUUGUUUUCUUUCUUCUGUUCGGUUUUCCACUUGUUGUUUAACAUUUUCACCUUGUUUCACUAUUUGCAAUCAAAUAAACGAUUUAUGUAGGUGUAUCUAUAUAUGUUCUUAGGAUCAUAAUAAAAAUAUAUUUUCUACAAAGUUUUUCGAAAAUAUAUAUACAUUGGGGAUUAUUUUUUUAACUGUCUACAGCUCACACAUGCAUAUUAUCAUAU
Molecule: long non-coding RNA, 218 nt
Organism: Arabidopsis thaliana (thale cress)
Lineage: Eukaryota; Viridiplantae; Streptophyta; Magnoliopsida; Brassicales; Brassicaceae
Product: other RNA
Exons: 1
Source: RefSeq